CCUACGGGCGGCAGCAGUGGGGAAUCUUGCACAAUGGGGGGAACCCUGAUGCAGCGACGCCGCGUGAGUGAAGAAGUAUUUCGGUAUGUAAAGCUCUAUCAGCAGGGAAGAAAAUGACGGUACCUGACUAAGAAGCCCCGGCUAACUACGUGCCAGCAGCCGCGGUAAUACGUAGGGGGCAAGCGUUAUGCGGAUUUACUGGGUGUAAAGGUAGCGUAGUCGGUAGAGCAAGUCUGAAGCGAAAGCCGUCGGCUCAACUGAAGGACUGCAUUGGAAACUGCGCGGCUUGAGUGCUGGAGAGGUAAGCGGAAUUCCUGGUGUAGCGGUGAAAUGCGUAGAUAUUAGGAGGAACACCAGUGGCGAAGGCGGCUUACUGGACUGUAACUGACGCUGAGGCUCGAAAGCGUGGGGAGCAAACAGGAUUAGAUACCCGAGUAGUC
Molecule: ribosomal RNA, 440 nt
Filed under: uncultured bacterium
Lineage: Bacteria
Description: partial 16S ribosomal RNA
Rfam family: Bacterial small subunit ribosomal RNA
Source: RNAcentral